GAUGAACGCUGGCGGCGUGCCUAAUACAUGCAAGUCGAGCGAACAGACGAGGAGCUUGCUCCUCUGACGUUAGCGGCGGACGGGUGAGUAACACGUGGAUAACCUACCUAUAAGACUGGGAUAACUUCGGGAAACCGGAGCUAAUACCGGAUAAUAUAUUGAACCGCAUGGUUCAAUAGUGAAAGACGGUUUUGCUGUCACUUAUAGAUGGAUCCGCGCCGCAUUAGCUAGUUGGUAAGGUAACGGCUUACCAAGGCAACGAUGCGUAGCCGACCUGAGAGGGUGAUCGGCCGCACGGGAGCUGAGACACGGUCCAGACUCCUACGGGAGGCAGCAGUAGGGAAUCUUCCGCAAUGGGCGAAAGCUUGACGGAGCAACGCCGCGUGAGUGAUGAAGGUCUUCGGAUCGUAAAACUCUGUUAUUAGGGAAGAACAAAUGUGUAAGUAACUAUGCACGUCUUGACGGUACCUAAUCAGAAAGCCACGGCUAACUACGUG
This 497-nucleotide ribosomal RNA is filed under the name uncultured bacterium. RNAcentral's name for it is "partial 16S ribosomal RNA". It matches the Rfam family "Bacterial small subunit ribosomal RNA", at positions 28 to 507 of the family's 1533-position model. The record is from RNAcentral.